CAGUCGCCGCGGUAAUACGGAGGAUCCAAGCGUUAUCCGGAAUCAUUGGGUUUAAAGGGUCCGUAGGCGGUCUUGUAAGUCAGUUGUGAAAGCCCAUCGCUCAACGGUGGAACGGCCAUUGAUACUGCAGGACUUGAAUUAUUGGGAAGUAACUAGAAUAUGUAGUGUAGCGGUGAAAUGCUUAGAGAUUACAUGGAAUACCAAUUGCGAAGGCAGGUUACUACCAAUUGAUUGACGCUGAUGGACGAAAGCGUGGGUAGCGAACAGGAUUAGAUACCCGUGUAGUCCCUGUCUCUUAUAU
RNAcentral lists this ribosomal RNA (301 nucleotides) under uncultured bacterium. RNAcentral's name for it is "partial 16S ribosomal RNA". It matches the Rfam family "Bacterial small subunit ribosomal RNA", at positions 509 to 809 of the family's 1533-position model. The record is from RNAcentral.